UGCGCAUCGGUGGGCAUGCGCAGCACCUGGCCGCUCUUCAUGCGGUUGAUGUUGCCGCCGACGAAGGCAUCCGGGUUCAGGUCCUGGAUGGCCAGC
This 96-nucleotide transfer RNA is filed under the name Pseudomonas solani. Its description in RNAcentral is "Pseudomonas sp. Sm006 tRNA-Glu". Lineage: Bacteria; Pseudomonadati; Pseudomonadota; Gammaproteobacteria; Pseudomonadales; Pseudomonadaceae. The record is from RNAcentral.